CACGUAGGAGGCGAGCGUUAUCCGGAUUUACUGGGCGUAAAGCGCGUGCCGGCGGAUUGGUAAGUUGGAUGUGAAAGCUCCUGGCUUAACUGGGAGAGGUCGUUCAAUACUGCCAGACUUGAGAGUGGUAGAGGGAGGUGGAAUUCCGGGUGUAGUGGUGAAAUGCGUAGAUAUCCGGAGGAACACCAGUGGCGAAAGCGGCCUCCUGGACCAUUUCUGACGCUCAGACGCGAAAGCUAGGGUAGCAAACAGG
RNAcentral lists this ribosomal RNA (253 nucleotides) under uncultured bacterium. RNAcentral describes it as "partial 16S ribosomal RNA". It matches the Rfam family "Bacterial small subunit ribosomal RNA", at positions 524 to 776 of the family's 1533-position model. The record is from RNAcentral.